This 564-nucleotide ribosomal RNA is filed under the name uncultured fungus. RNAcentral describes it as "eukaryotic LSU rRNA". The stretch from base 203 to 356 matches the Rfam family "5.8S ribosomal RNA". Lineage: Eukaryota; Fungi. The record is from RNAcentral.
AGUAAAAGUCGUAACAAGGUUUCCGUAGGUGAACCUGCGGAAGGAUCAUUACAGUGUGGCUGCCCUCGCGGGUAGCAACGCCCACCCGUGUUUAUCAUAUCUUGUUGCUUUGGCAGGUGGCGCCCGGCGACGGCCGGGACGUGCCUGCCAGGGGACCCCAACUCUGAAUUUUAGUGUCGUCUGAGUACUAUAUAAUAGUUAAAACUUUCAACAACGGAUCUCUUGGUUCUGGCAUCGAUGAAGAACGCAGCGAAAUGCGAUAAGUAAUGUGAAUUGCAGAAUUCAGUGAAUCAUCGAAUCUUUGAACGCACAUUGCGCCCCUUGGUAUUCCGGGGGGCAUGCCUGUUCGAGCGUCAUUUCAACCCUCAAGCUUAGCUUGGUAUUGAGUCUAUGUCAGUAAUGGCAGGCUCUAAAAUCAGUGGCGGCGCCGCUGGGUCCUGAACGUAGUAAUAUCUCUCGUUACAGGUUCUCGGUGUGCUUCUGCCAAAACCCAAAUUUUUCUAUGGUUGACCUCGGAUCAGGUAGGGAUACCCGCUGAACUUAAGCAUAUCAAUAAGCGGAGGA